GUGGAUUAGAUACCCUGGUAGUCCACGCCGUAAACGAUGGUCACCAGGUGUGUGCGGUAUCGACCCCGCACGUGCCGUCGCUAACGCUUUAAGUGACCCGCCUGGGGAGUACGGCCGCAAGGUUGAAACUCAAAGGAAUUGACGGGGGCCCGCACAAGCGGUGGAGCAUGUGGAUUAAUACGUCACUAACCGUAGAACCUUACCCAGGCUUGACAUCUGUGGAAUCCCCUUGAAAGGGGGGAGUGCCUCGCAAGAGGAGCCGCAAGACAGGUGUUGCAUGGUCGUCGCCAGCU
Molecule: ribosomal RNA, 293 nt
Filed under: uncultured bacterium
Lineage: Bacteria
Description: partial 16S ribosomal RNA
Rfam family: Bacterial small subunit ribosomal RNA
Source: RNAcentral